CCGCCCUCCAGCCCAUCCCAAGAUGGCGGAGAUCCCCUUGUACUUUGUGGACUUGCAGGAUGACUUAGACGACUAGUUAUAGUGACAGGAUGACAUGUUGAAUGGAGAGUCGUAAAUAUCGGGACUGCCCGGAGAACGGAUUCUUAAUGAAAAUGCUUGCUGGGAUGGACGUGCUGGAACAUUCUGCCUGCAGCUUCAGCUCUGCUCAUGUCUGGACCAAUAAAGAUGGAUUUGAAGAUUGUGGUCCAGACUGUGACAGCGGGAAGGUCAUGGCUUUCUUGGACAUCCCUGGCCACGAUAACCUGCCCCUGCUCACUCGCUUGAAAAAGCAUGCGUUCAGUGAGAACGUCUUCAGCCGGUAAGCAGCAUCCUCUCACUGCUAGCCUUCCGCUGCUGUGACAGGUUCCAGGGGACUCACAGGCAAGGUGGGCUGCAGUUGUCUCCAGGAUGCCUUGACCCUGUCUCUGAGAGUCCUGUCUCACUAGGCUUUCCACUUGCUGUUUGUUGGUGUUAUUUUUGGUGGAGCUGAAUCAAAUCUAGAGUCUUGUGUAUACUUCAAUGCCUUUUCUCAUGGAGCUGUGCCUCUACCUCACCCCCCUUGUGCACUGCUUUUGUUACUGACUGCUACCUAAGCAAAGGAAGAAAUGUUGUGGAGGCUUUCUGUCACACACACACAGUACACACCGCACUGCUGCUGGACUCUGUGCUUUCAAGUUCAGCUGAGCGCUUGGUUAUCACCCUGUCCUGCCUUGCUCUACUGUACUCCACAACCAUACUGACCCGGUCCAGUCUAUCUUACUUUUAGCGAUGACCUUGAUUUGGUUUCUUAAGGAACUCAGGACCUGAGGUUGCCUAAACUCCCUGAAUCUGCACACCUUCAUCUCUGUCCCUCCUGUCUGUCCAUUUGCUCUGCUCUUGGCCCUGUCACUUCCCACCCUCUGUCCCCACCUAGUCUAUCUGCUACACUGGUCCUUUCAUUCCUGCCCUCUGCAUCCUCCUGUCCAUAGCUCUCCUCAGAGCCCUGGGUGACCGUCUACAUGCUGCUCUCUUGAGAGUGAGUGAUGUUCUAGGUCAAGCACAGGCCCGCUCCUCACAUUGUAAGUCACAGAACUGGGGGAGCCUGGUGUCCUCCAUUUUAGAAACAGAGAUUGGCAGCCCUCAUUCUCCAUCUCCACAGCCUGCCUGUUUCAUCUUUCCUACCAAGUGCUUUUUGUGUCAUGUAAAAGCAGUGUUUGCACUCGUUGGUGGCAGUUCAUACGUGACCUCAGGACUUGAGGCUGAGGCAGGACAAUAUCAAGUUUAAAGAUGGUCUGGGCCACUUGGGAGGACCUGUUUCAGGAAACAACAAAGAGAAAUGCUUGCCAGUUGCAGGCUUACAUUUCACAAUUUGGCU
This is a long non-coding RNA of Acomys russatus (golden spiny mouse), 1393 nucleotides long. RefSeq lists it as uncharacterized. The transcript is spliced from 4 exons. NCBI's taxonomy places the organism in Eukaryota, Metazoa, Chordata, Mammalia, Rodentia, Muridae. The record is from RefSeq and is a predicted model, not a curated record.